Molecule: ribosomal RNA, 1275 nt
Filed under: uncultured bacterium
Lineage: Bacteria
Description: partial 16S ribosomal RNA
Rfam family: Bacterial small subunit ribosomal RNA
Source: RNAcentral
UGGCGGACGGGUGAGUAACGCGUGGGUAACCUGCCUUACACUGGGGGAUAACACUUAGAAAUAGGUGCUAAUACCGCAUAAGCGCACGAAGCCGCAUGGAUUUGUGUGAAAAACUCCGGUGGUGUAAGAUGGACCCGCGUCUGAUUAGCUUGUUGGCGGGGUAACGGCCCACCUAACCGACGAUGGGUAGGGGUUCUGAGAGGAAGGUCCCCCACACUGGAACUGAGACACGGUCCAGACUCCUACGGGAGGCAGAAGUGAGGAAUAUUGGUCAAUGGACGCAAGUCUGAACCAGCCAAGUAGCGUGCAGGAUGACGGCCCUCCGGGUUGUAAACUGCUUUUAGUUGGGAAUAAAAGGGGGCUCGUGAGCCCCGUAUUGUAUGUACCAUCAGAAAAAGGACCGGCUAAUUCCGUGCCAGCAGCCGCGGUAAUACGGAAGGUCCGGGCGUUAUCCGGAUUUAUUGGGUUUAAAGGGUGCGCAGGCGGUCUGUUAAGUCAGCGGUCAAAGCCCGGGGCUCAGCCCCGGCCCGCCGUUAAAACUGGCAGUCUCGAGUUGGAGAGAAGUAUGCGGAAUGCGCGGUGUAGCGGUGAAAUGCAUAGAUAUCGCGCAGAACUCCGAUUGCGAAGGCAGCAUGCCGGCUCCACACUGACGCUGAGGCACGAAAGCGUGGGUAUCGAACAGGAUUAGAUACCCUGGUAGUCCACGCAGUAAACGAUGAAUGCUGGCUGUCCGGGGGGAUUGACCCCUGGGUGGCGAAGCGAAAGCGAUAAGCAUUCCACCUGGGGAGUACGCCGGCAGCGGUGAAACUCAAAGGAAUUGACGGGGGCCCGCACAAGCGGAGGAACAUGUGGUUUAAUUCGAUGAUACGCGAGGAACCUUACCCGGGCUCAAACGUAAGCGGAAUAACGGUGAAAGCCGUUAGCUAUUUAUAGCCGCUUACGAGGUGCUGCAUGGUUGUCGUCAGCUCGUGCCGUGAGGUGUCGGCUUAAGUGCCAUAACGAGCGCAACCCCCAUCGCCAGUUGCUAACAAGUAACGUUGAGGACUCUGGCGAGACUGCCGGCGCAAGCUGCGAGGAAGGCGGGGAUGACGUCAAAUCAGCACGGCCCUUACGUCCGGGGCGACACACGUGUUACAAUGGCAGGUACAGAGAGAAGCCAUCCCGCGAGGGAGAGCGGAACUUUAAAGCCUGUCUCAGUUCGGAUUGGAGUCUGCAACCCGACUCCAUGAAGCUGGAUUCGCUAGUAAUCGCGCAUCAGCCACGGCGCGGUGAAUA